GACGAACCGUGCAAACGUUGUUCGGAAUCACUGGGCUUAAAGGGCGCGUAGGCGGCUUGCCAAGUCGGGGGUGAAAUACUUCAGCUUAACUGGAGAAGUGCCUUCGAUACUGGCGAGCUCGAGGGAGGUAGGGGUAUGUGGAACUUCUGGUGGAGCGGUGAAAUGCGUUGAUAUCAGAAGGAACGCCGGUGGCGAAAGCGACGUACUGGACCUCUUCUGACGCUGAGGCGCGAAAGCUAGGGGAGCAAACGGG
RNAcentral lists this ribosomal RNA (253 nucleotides) under uncultured bacterium. RNAcentral's name for it is "partial 16S ribosomal RNA". It matches the Rfam family "Bacterial small subunit ribosomal RNA", at positions 524 to 776 of the family's 1533-position model. RNAcentral also lists the same sequence under 1 other name. The record is from RNAcentral.